Molecule: ribosomal RNA, 253 nt
Filed under: uncultured bacterium
Lineage: Bacteria
Description: partial 16S ribosomal RNA
Rfam family: Bacterial small subunit ribosomal RNA
Source: RNAcentral
UACAGAGGGUGCGAGCGUUAAUCGGAAUUACUGGGCGUAAAGCGUGCGUAGGUGGUCUUUUAAGUCCGUUGUGAAAGCCCUGGGCUCAGCCUGGGAAUGGCAGUGGAUACUGGAAGGCUGGAGUACGGUAGAGGAGGGUGGAAUUCCCGGUGUAGAGGUGAAAUUCGUAGAUAUCGAGAGGAACACCGGUGGCGAAGGCGGCCAACUGGACGAAUACUGACGCUGAGACUCGAAAGCGUGGGGAGCAAACAGG